CAGUAGCCGCGGUAAUACGUAGGGGGCAAGCGUUGUCCGGAAUUAUUGGGCGUAAAGCGCGCGCAGGCGGUUUUUUAAGUCUGGUGUCUAAGUGCGGGGCUCAACCCCGUGACGCACUGGAAACUGGGAGACUUGAGUGCAGAAGAGGAGAGCGGAAUUCCACGUGUAGCGGUGAAAUGCGUAGAGAUGUGGAGGAACACCAGUGGCGAAGGCGGCUCUCUGGACUGUAACUGACGCUGAGGCGCGAAAGCGUGGGGAGCAAACAGGAUUAGAUACCCGCGUAGUCCCUGUCUCUUAUACA
RNAcentral lists this ribosomal RNA (301 nucleotides) under uncultured bacterium. Its description in RNAcentral is "partial 16S ribosomal RNA". It matches the Rfam family "Bacterial small subunit ribosomal RNA", at positions 509 to 808 of the family's 1533-position model. The record is from RNAcentral.